UCACUCCAAUUCCAGAGGAUACGGCCACCCUCACACAGACAUACAUUACGAUGGUCACGUGAGGAUCCAGACACACAAGGAGAACACCAUGUGAAGAUGGAUACUGAAUUGAAGUGCUGCCGUUGUGAGCCUUGGAAUGCCCCUGGCUGAAAAGGCAAGAGAUUUUCUCUAUAGGAUUGACAGGGAGCAGGCUCUGCCAACACACUAUAUUCCCGCUUCCAACCUCUGGGAAAUAGAUGUUUAUAGUCAUAAGCUACCCAGUUUGUGAGAACUGUGUUACCACAGCCCAAGGAAA
This 295-nucleotide small RNA is filed under the name Rattus norvegicus (Norway rat). Its description in RNAcentral is "vesicle-associated membrane protein 5 like (Vamp5l)". Lineage: Eukaryota; Metazoa; Chordata; Mammalia; Rodentia; Muridae. The record is from RNAcentral.